Molecule: ribosomal RNA, 519 nt
Filed under: uncultured eukaryote
Lineage: Eukaryota
Description: SSU rRNA
Rfam family: Eukaryotic small subunit ribosomal RNA
Source: RNAcentral
AGGGCACCACCAGGAGUGGAGCCUGCGGCUUAAUUUGACUCAACACGGGAAAACUCACCCGGCCCGGACACUGAAAGGAUUGACAGAUUGAGAGCUCUUUCUUGAUUCAGUGGGUGGUGGUGCAUGGCCGUUCUUAGUUGGUGGAGCGAUUUGUCUGGUUAAUUCCGAUAACGAACGAGACUCUAGCCUACUAAAUAGAUCGCCGGUUUACAAACACCGGUGAGACUUCUUAGAGGGACAGGCGGCGAUUCAGCCGCACGAAACAGAGCAAUAACAGGUCUGUGAUGCCCUUAGAUGUCCGGGGCCGCACGCGCGCUACACUGAAGUGAUCAGCGUGCAUUUUAAGCCUACUCGGCCAACAGUGGGAAACCCAAUGAACCUUCUUCGUGAUUGGGAUAGGGGAUUGUAAUUAUUCCCCUUGAACGAGGAAUUCCCAGUAAGCGCGAGUCAAAAGCUCGCGUUGAUUACUUCCCUGCCCUUAGUACACACCGCCCGUCGCUACUACCAAUUGAAUGAUUA